This 253-nucleotide ribosomal RNA is filed under the name uncultured bacterium. RNAcentral describes it as "partial 16S ribosomal RNA". It matches the Rfam family "Bacterial small subunit ribosomal RNA", at positions 524 to 776 of the family's 1533-position model. The record is from RNAcentral.
UACGUAGGUGGCAAGCGUUGUCCGGAAUUAUUGGGCGUAAAGCGCGCGCAGGCGGUCCUUUAAGUCUGAUGUGAAAGCCCACGGCUCAACCGUGGAGGGUCAUUGGAAACUGGGGGACUUGAGUGCAGAAGAGGAAAGCGGAAUUCCACGUGUAGCGGUGAAAUGCGUAGAUAUGUGGAGGAACACCAGUGGCGAAGGCGGCUUUCUGGUCUGUAACUGACGCUGAGGCGCGAAAGCGUGGGGAGCAAACAGG